Molecule: transfer RNA, 69 nt
Filed under: Hishimonoides recurvatis
Lineage: Eukaryota; Metazoa; Arthropoda; Insecta; Hemiptera; Cicadellidae
Description: tRNA-Cys
Source: RNAcentral
UGUCUUGUAGUUUAAUAAAAACUUUAAAUUGCAAAUUUAAUAAUGAUUAUGUGUAAUAUUCUAAGACUU